CGAGCCGACCGGGCGGCCGCGGUACCGUCGGGCAACCGGCGGAUCGAGGAACGUCCGGGCUCCACAGAGCAGGGCGGUGGCUAACGGCCACCCGGGGUGACCCGCGGGAUAGUGCCACAGAAAACAGACCGCCGGCGUCGGCCGGUCAGGGUGAAACGGUGGGGUAAGAGCCCACCAGCGUGACGGGUGACCGCCACGGCUAGGUAAACCCCGCCCGGAGCAAGACCGCGCAGCAGGUGCCCGCCACGUGGUGGCGGAGAGGGUAGCUCGCCCGAGCCUGCGGGUAGGUCGCGUGAGGCCAUCGGCAACGAUGGUCCAAGAUGGAUGGUCGCCACCGCCACGCCGGUAACGGCGGGCGGCAACAGAACCCGGCGUACAGGUCGGCUCGUCCG
Molecule: RNase P RNA, 392 nt
Filed under: Actinomyces sp. MRS3W
Lineage: Bacteria; Bacillati; Actinomycetota; Actinomycetes; Actinomycetales; Actinomycetaceae
Description: RNase P RNA component class A
Rfam family: Bacterial RNase P class A
About the family: Ribonuclease P (RNase P) is a ubiquitous endoribonuclease, found in archaea, bacteria and eukarya as well as chloroplasts and mitochondria.
Source: RNAcentral